UCUCUCCUCCUUCCAUUUUUGUGCAUGGAGAAUUCUUGCCACUGUAGCCACAUACAUAAAUACCGUUGAGGCUUUCUGUGGGAUUUCGCUGUUUUAGAACACUUCUGACAGAUUGAGGAAGCACCGUAAUUCAGUAGCAGAGCAUCUGCUUUGAAUGUGGAAGGUCCCAGAUUCAGUUACUGGCAUCUCCAGAGAGGACUGAGAAACACCUCCGUGGGAAACCCUAGUGAGCUGCUGCCAGUCAGUGAACACAGUACUAAGCUAGAUGAGUCAGUGGUCUAUAUAAGCCAAGGGUCGGCAAGGUUUACCUCACCUGGGCCGGAUCACUCCAGCGGAGAUCUCUCCGUGGGCUGGAUUAUGCGCAUGUCUGCGAUUUCUGGCGUCUUCACAGACGCAAUUUCCAGCACCGCGAAAGCGAGUCUCCGUGCCGCACUGCGCCGGUUUAGCACAGCACGUGGGGACUCGCCAAGUGGGCGGCUCGGUUCAGGGGUGGCUUGUGGGCUAGUUAAAUAACCCCCGUGGGCUGCUUGUGGUCCAUGGGCCUUAGGUUGCCUUGUUGUUGUUGUUUAGUCGUUUAGUCGUGUCCGACUCUUCGUGACCCCAUGGACCAGAGCAUGCCAGGCACUCCUGUCUUCCACUGCCUCCCACAGUUUAGUCAAACUCAUGCUGGUAGCUUUGAGAACACUAUCCAACCAUCUCGUCCUCUGUCGUCCCCUUCUCCUUGUGCCCUCCAUCUUUCCCAACAUCAGGGUCUUUUCCAGGGAGUCUUCUCUUCUCAUGAGGUGGCCAAAGUAUUGGAGUCUCAGCUUCAGGAUCUGUCCUUCCAGUGAGCACUCAGGGCUGAUUUUCUUAAGAAUGGAUAGGUUUGAUCUACUUGCAGUCCAUGGCACUCUCAAGAGUCUCCUCCAGCACCAUAAUUCAAAAGCAUCAAUUCUUCGGCGAUCAGCCUUCUUUAUGGUCCAGCUCUCACUUCCAUACAUCACUACUGGGAAAACCAUAGCCUACCCCUAAUAUAAGCAGCUUCCUAUGUCCCCAUGAAUUCCCACGAGAAGUGGCUACUUCACAGCUGUAGGGUAUAUUUCCCUAUGGGAAGCCAUUCUAUUCCUCCCACACACCUUUUGUAUCCCAUCCCCAUUCAUUAAAGAUGCCCCAUUAAUCAUGGUGGAUCUACAUAAAGGCAACAGACACCACAAGGUUUCAUUUCAGAAUAAAUCUUGCUAAUCAAUACUCUACUCCUUAGAUUACACCACUCAAUAUCUCUCUGUGCCAGAGGACAUUAACUUACAUAUUUACCUACUCUGCCGUUCGUUAUAGGUCAUGUACGUGACAAUGAAACUGAUGGUUUUUAUUUGCUCGUACAUGGGUUUUCACCAGUGCAAAGAACAUUCAGGAGGUUUGGGAAAGGGCAACUGAAAUAAUCAGAGGAUGGAGUGACUCCUGGAUGAGGAAAGGUUGCAGCAUUUGGGAUUUUUUUAAUUCAGAGAAAAGGCGAGGAAGAGAAGACAUGAUAGAAGAUUAUAAAAUUAUGUCUGGCAUGGAGAAAGUGGAUAGAGAAAGGUUUUCCUCCCUCCCUCAUAAGACUGGAAUUCAUGAGCAUCCAAUGAAGCUGAAUGUUGAAAGAUUCAGGACAGAUAACAGAAAGCAUUUCUUCACACAGUGCAUAGUUAAACUACAGAAUUUUACUGCAAAAUAAAGGGGAAGGAGAUCCCCAAAGCCCAUGAAGAUUGGACAUAGACAGUGACUGCAGAAUGCUGACUGAUUAUUGGAGGAAAACAUUGAAAACCCAUGGAUAAUAUAGUGGAAUGUCUGGAACAGCAGCACUCCACAAUGGCCACAUCCUUUUGCAGGACUUGCUUGUUCAACCUAAUACCAAUUGACAUGCUGUUGCACUCAAUGCUGCUGUAGAAAGCCAGGGUGGGAUUAAGGCAGCAGAAAUCCUCAUGAAGUAUUAAGCUUUAAUAGGAAGGCAGGAGCCUGACAUACCAUUUCAGGCCCCUGAAGCAGAGUAUUGCAUUAUUAUUCCUUUGGAAAUACAUCUGAAAAUGAAUCUGUACUUGGUUAUGCAAAUUAACAGAACAUUGGGGCUCUACCAUGUGGAGCUUCAAAAUGAAGAUUUGGAGAGGGUUUUUUUUUUAAAAAAACACCCACAUAACCACCAUGCAAAACAUCCGCUGCAGCUGCUUGCUUUUGCAGAGCAGUGGUUCAUUUGUGGAUGGUUCUGCAUGCAUCUACUGAAUCAUAAUUGUUAUUCUGCACAGAAAUAUCCAGCUGAUUGAAUCGCAGUAGAAAGAGCAGUAAUGUGGAGAGCAGGCUCCAGGUUUUCCCUAUAGUGACAUUCUGCUAAGGAAGGGGACGCUCCCAGAGUGCAAGCCUGAAAAGCUCAGCUGCUGAAGGUCUUUGUUAAUUGCUAGUCUCUGGAGGCUUUAUUGCCAAGUGAUCUGAAGUGCUCCCAGAGCAACCAGGCCAGAGAACAAAACAUUUGAUUUGCCACCAGUGUAAAACUCUUGCUUCAGUUAAGCCACCUUUGCUACAUAGCUUGCUUUUAUUGUUCUAUGCAUUCACUUCUCAAUAUUUCAUCUAAAUGUAUAGGGCUCCAUGGUAAAAAGUGGAGAAAGUUGUUUACAGAAGCCGAAGCAAUGUUUAUUUUUUUAUUAUUAUCAGGGCAGCUUUAGCGUCUCUCCAGGUAGGAGGAUUUGAUGCUUAAUUAGCAAGGGGAUGGGAUUCUGGUUUCUAGGACAUAUGAACAUGCGAUCUAUACUUGGUUUAAUAAACAAAUGGCAGUCAGUGAAAUUGGCAGCACUAGCAGGAGCCAACACUACUGUUUCCCUUUUAUUUUUGAUGAGGGGGGGAAACAGGAGCUGGUAACAUUUGGGGGAGGUUUUUUUUGUUUUUUUUUUUUUUAAGGUCACACAUCUACAAAAUAAUAUUGUAUUUUUAGCAAGUGUAGUAUUAAGGCUGCUGAAAGAAGCCCACAGGCUAGAUCUUUUACAAGGCUACUGGAUAACCAUGGUCUAAAUAAAAACGAUAUCUUUCCAGGAUUUUUUACUGUUUGAAUAUUUGUGCUGUUAAUAUUUGGAUAGUAUUUAUGGCAAAUCAUGAAAUUUGCGGUGCAAACUGUACAAGUGAUCAUACCAGACAACCCAGUGUCUUGUUGAGAGGUGACUUUCUGUUCAGAUCUAUGCUUAAAUUAGAGGGGAAAUUAUCUGAUCCUGAGCUGAGCAGGGGGUUAGAUGAGAUGACCUGCCAAUUAUUAUUAUUUAUUUAUUGAAUUUAUAAAUUUUGUGAUAAAGUUCUAUGCAUACAGGGGAACAAGGUUCCCCUGAUUUUUCUUUAAAAUAUUGAAUCUGGCAAAUAGAUAUGAAAUAGCUUAAGGCUAUCAAAAGUAACAAAGAGUACCCACCUUGGAAGAAUGGCAGAUGAAGGUGAUGGACUAUAUGGAAUUGGCGGAAAUGACUGGCAGAAUCCGAGACCAGGGAGAAGAGUCGAUGGAAGAAGAUUGGAAAAAGUUUAAAGACUAUUUACAGAAAUAUUGCAAAAUUAAUGAAUGUUAGAAUGAUGUCGGAUAGAAACUAAGUGGUCUUUAGCCGAAAUGUUAUAAGGGAAUAUGAAAAAUGGUUUAUUAAUAGGU
Molecule: long non-coding RNA, 3628 nt
Filed under: Podarcis lilfordi (Lilford's wall lizard)
Lineage: Eukaryota; Metazoa; Chordata; Lepidosauria; Squamata; Lacertidae
Source: RNAcentral